RNAcentral lists this ribosomal RNA (254 nucleotides) under uncultured bacterium. RNAcentral describes it as "partial 16S ribosomal RNA". It matches the Rfam family "Bacterial small subunit ribosomal RNA", at positions 524 to 776 of the family's 1533-position model. The record is from RNAcentral.
UACGUAGGGUGCAAGCGUUGUCCGGAUUUAUUGGGCGUAAAGAGCUCGUAGGCGGUUUGGUAAGUCGGAUGUGAAAUCUCCAGGCUCAACCUGGAGGGGUCAUUCGAGACUGCUAUGACUAGAGUUCGGUAGAGGAGUGUGGAAUUCCUGGUGGAGCGGUGAAAUGCGCAGAUAUCAGGAGGAACACCCGUAGCGAAGGCGGCACUCUGGGCCGAUACUGACGCUGAGGAGCGAAAGCGUGGGGAGCGAACAGG